This 253-nucleotide ribosomal RNA is filed under the name uncultured bacterium. RNAcentral describes it as "partial 16S ribosomal RNA". It matches the Rfam family "Bacterial small subunit ribosomal RNA", at positions 524 to 776 of the family's 1533-position model. The record is from RNAcentral.
UACGUAGGGUCCGAGCGUUGUCCGGAAUUACUGGGCGUAAAGAGCUCGUAUGUGGUUUGUCGCGUUGUUCGUGAAAACUCACAGCUUAACUGUGGGCGUGCGGGCGAUACGGGCAGACUUGAGUACUGCAGGGGAGACUGGAAUUCCUGGUGUAGCGGUGGAAUGCGCAGAUAUCAGGAGGAACACCGGUGGCGAAGGCGGGUCUCUGGGCAGUAACUGACGCUGAGGAGCGAAAGCGUGGGGAGCGAACAGG